RNAcentral lists this non-coding RNA (93 nucleotides) under chicken gut metagenome. RNAcentral's name for it is "TPP riboswitch (THI element)". It matches the Rfam family "TPP riboswitch aptamer (THI element)", at positions 8 to 91 of the family's 105-position model. Rfam says of the family: Vitamin B(1) in its active form thiamin pyrophosphate (TPP) is an essential coenzyme that is synthesised by coupling of pyrimidine and thiazole moieties in bacteria. The previously detected thiamin-regulatory element, thi box was extended, resulting in a new, highly conserved RNA secondary structure, the THI element, which is widely distributed in eubacteria and also occurs in some archaea. The record is from RNAcentral.
GACAAGGGGCGCUGACGGAUGUCGGCUGAGAUCGGAGCUAACCCGCUCCAGUCCCUCAAACCUGAUCCGGGUAAUGCCGGCGUAGGAAUGUUU